RNAcentral lists this non-coding RNA (198 nucleotides) under Chitinophaga niabensis. Lineage: Bacteria; Pseudomonadati; Bacteroidota; Chitinophagia; Chitinophagales; Chitinophagaceae. The record is from RNAcentral.
UCUUUCUUUCCACAGCGUGGUAGGCGAUGAAAGUCGCCUUUAAUUUGGAACCGUGUGCAAAUCACGGGCUGUCGCGCAACUGUAAGUAACGCUACCUGUUACUGCCAAUCAUGUUCAUUGCUCUAACCUGAAUAGACGAGUGAGAAGAACGGCAGUAAUGUUACAAGCCAGGAUACUUGCCGUGCUGUGUAAGACAAA